RNAcentral lists this long non-coding RNA (377 nucleotides) under Hordeum vulgare. RNAcentral's name for it is "long non-coding RNA (HVUL_LNC008385)". Lineage: Eukaryota; Viridiplantae; Streptophyta; Magnoliopsida; Poales; Poaceae. The record is from RNAcentral.
UCUCAGGUAGUUCUCGAUUGUCUCUUUAUCGUGUUUCAGCUGCUCAUUGCACACUUCUGUCCCCCUUACAACUUCCCUUGUCGCCAGUGCCUUGAUGAUCUGCUUCUACUCGUAUGUGUUGCUUGCCGGGGGGAAUCCACCACCGAAGAAGAAGCCAGCAGCUGCUAUAUAAGUUGAUCCUUUAGUCCUAUUGUGGUCAAAGUUGUGCUCUGGUAAAUGUUACUGAUGGUAGGGGUGCAUUUUAUUACUUUUAAUUGUAGAACACUGAAAAAUAAUAGAGUUGUGUUCUUGAGUACAGUUCAUUCAGGUAUCUUUGUUACUUAGUGGAAGAUUCAGAGCAGAUACGAUUUGCGCUGGUUCUACAUGAACUUUUGUUC